UUCUCUUUUGAGCACAUACAGCCCACAUCUGCCUGUCAGCAGUCCUGACGGAUGAAGACAUGUGACCUGUGUGCGGCUCUCAUAGAUGAACUUCCAAAUGUGAGAAGCCAUUUCAGGAGGUGCUUUGGAGCAGGAUUAAGAUGGGUCCCUGCCACAGCAGUUAAAGCCAGACGUCCUAAACAUGCAAGGACCAAACAACAUCUGUAAACCAGUAAACCAAGGCCAACAGGGAAAGAGCAACAUCGGAAGGGUGCAGGAGGCCCAGCAACCAAGCAGUCAGUAGAGCAGAGAUGGAUAACAUCAUCUGUGUGUCCCGAAGGCAAAUGUUCAGCAGCCUUCCAAUUGUGCCUUGCUGUUUCCCUCAGUCUGCCUCUUGCCCUGGUUCCCCAAACCCAGCCUUGAAAAUAUCCAGUUACAAAGGAUGAAAUUGAAAUCCACCUUUGCAUCCACUAUCACAUAUUGGUUCACAACUCCAUUCCAAUCCCCUGUAGCUACCCUCCAGCAUGUUGGAUGAUGGGACCUGAAAGACUAGAAGAUUCACUGAGCUCAGUGUCCCUAUGUAUCCCAACUUCCACCAAGCAGACCUCACUCUGCUGUGAAAUAACUUCUUCAGGAAAGCAAUAUCAAACAGAGUAGCAACCUCCAGUCAUGAUGGCUGCCUAGGUAAACAUAGCUCACCUCCUCACACAACCACAUCAAAACUACAACAAAAAUAUAGAACAACCAUCACUCAGACAGACAGAAAUCAAGCUGAAUAAAAGUCUAACAACUAUGGAAUUAAAGAAACCAAAUCCAUCCAGACUAGUAGGGGGAGCAGAGACGUGGAACAGGCUCUUCUCCAACCCCAUGUGGUAUAUUUGGGAGGGAUAUCUCAGAAGUGGAGAAAUCCAGCCCUACACCAGGCCCCCCAACCCAUGGUUCCAGUGUCAGGAAGAUAAGUCUCCAUAACUUCUGGCUAUAAACACCAGAGAUGACUGAGUCAAUGAAAGAAACUUCUGGAGUCCCAAGCACUUUGCUGUACAAAACCGAUACAUGACUUACUCAGAUACACUCCCUCUGGGCUCUAGUACCAGGAUAGCACCUUGAAAGGCACCAGUGGCAUAUAGGGAGGUACUGAAGUACCUGGCAUCAAGUUGGGAGCUGGGGACAGCUUUCCCCAGACAGAAAGGUGACCAGUUGCCAUUGUGCCUUUUCUGAACCUUCGCUGCACAGAGCUAUAGAGCUGAGAGGUGAGUUCAAUAUCUCAGACUCCAUCAACCUGGCUAACAUUGCUUACCCUGCCCUGGAGAUCCCCUGAAGCUCUGUCCCACCCA
This is a long non-coding RNA of Phyllostomus hastatus (greater spear-nosed bat), 1313 nucleotides long. RefSeq lists it as uncharacterized. The transcript is spliced from 5 exons. The record is from RefSeq and is a predicted model, not a curated record. Lineage: Eukaryota; Metazoa; Chordata; Mammalia; Chiroptera; Phyllostomidae.